Non-coding RNA from Pangasianodon gigas (Mekong giant catfish), 72 nucleotides. Lineage: Eukaryota; Metazoa; Chordata; Actinopteri; Siluriformes; Pangasiidae. The record is from the annotation of a GenBank genome assembly.
UCCCUGGAGGACUAGUGAUUAGGGCACGGCGCUCUCACCGCUGCGGCCCAGGUUUGAUUCCCAGUCAGGUAA